AAUACCGGUUCAAAGCUGCGUUCUUCACGCUAUCCACGUCAGCGGAAAUUUUUUUAGCUACUCGAUUGUGGAUCAACGGCUCACAUAUCUCUGAAGACUACUCCCUCGUUACCUUCGCUGCUUCUGGAAAUUUCCUCUCCUCAGUCCUCACACAGUCAAACUUCCAUCUUGUCCCUCAUCCUUGCUCCCUCCGCCGCGUCUUCCGUUUCCAGCCUCCGCCGCGUCUUCCGUCUCGAGCACUCCAGCAGGUCAUAUUCGUCCUCUGCUGAAGACAAAAUUCGUGAGGUUGAUGAACAGGUUUCAGCUGAGCUCAAUAAAGACAGCCUCGCGUCACCUCCUAAGAAGAUCAAGAGUGCACAGCUAGGUUCUACAUCAACGAUCUGAUGAUGUUCUCAUGAAGGUAUUAUGACGAGAAUCAUCACUUUUGGAGCGAAUCAUCACUUUUGGAGCGCGAAUGCUUUUGUGUAUAUAUAACCAAACUGCUGAAACUUUAGCAGUGCUGUAGAUAUUGAACAGAUCUCUGGUCGUUGAACCACUAAUGAUGUAAUAUAUAAAUUUGUACAAACCUACGAACAAGUCGGUUGACUAUGCAACUACCGUACCUGCUAUAAUUGUCA
Zea mays is the source of this 617-nucleotide long non-coding RNA. RefSeq lists it as uncharacterized. The record is from RefSeq and is a predicted model, not a curated record. The transcript has 5 exons. NCBI's taxonomy places the organism in Eukaryota, Viridiplantae, Streptophyta, Magnoliopsida, Poales, Poaceae.